Molecule: long non-coding RNA, 293 nt
Filed under: Cicer arietinum (chickpea)
Lineage: Eukaryota; Viridiplantae; Streptophyta; Magnoliopsida; Fabales; Fabaceae
Description: long non-coding RNA (CARI_LNC003050)
Source: RNAcentral
GGGAGAUGGUGUUUAUUGAGGCCUUAAAGAUGAUCGAGAUGAAGGAGAAAGUGAAUGGAGGAUGAAGGAGAACGGUGAGAACGAAAAAUGGAGGCACUAGGGUUUGCAAGGAUGAAGGAGAACGGUGAGAACGAGAAAUGGAGGCACUAGGGUUUGCGAGGAUGAAGGAGAAAGUUUGAACGAAAAACGAAAAAUGGAGGCACUAGGGUUUGGGAAAAAUGGAGGCACAAGGGUUUGCGAGGAUGAAGGAGAACGGUAGUAUCCUUUGAGUUGUUUAUGGUAGUGCGAAAUAU